UACAGAGGGGGCAAGCGUUAUUCGGAAUCAUUGGGCGUAAAGCGCACGUAGGCGGUCUGUUAUGUCGGAUGUGAAAGCCCUUGGCUUAACUGAGGAAGUGCAUCCGAAACUGGCAGGCUAGAGUACUAAAGAGGGUCGCGGAAUUCCCGGUGUAGAGGUGAAAUUCGUAGAUAUCGGGAGGAACACCGGUGGCGAAGGCGGCGACCUGGGUAGAUACUGACGCUGAGGUGCGAAAGCGUGGGGAGCAAACAGG
This 253-nucleotide ribosomal RNA is filed under the name uncultured bacterium. RNAcentral's name for it is "partial 16S ribosomal RNA". It matches the Rfam family "Bacterial small subunit ribosomal RNA", at positions 524 to 776 of the family's 1533-position model. The record is from RNAcentral.